This 443-nucleotide ribosomal RNA is filed under the name uncultured bacterium. RNAcentral's name for it is "partial 16S ribosomal RNA". It matches the Rfam family "Bacterial small subunit ribosomal RNA", at positions 338 to 795 of the family's 1533-position model. The record is from RNAcentral.
CCUACGGGCGGCAGCAGUGGGGAAUAUUGGGCAAUGGAGGCAACUCUGACCCAGCAACGCCGCGUGAAUGAUGAAGGUCUUCGGAUUGUAAAGUUCUUUUCUAAGGGAAGAAGAAAGUGACGGUACCUUAGGAAUAAGCCUCGGCUAACUACGUGCCAGCAGCCGCGGUAAUACGUAGGAGGCAAGCGUUAUCCGGAAUGACUGGGCGUAAAGGGUGCGUAGGUGGUUUGACAAGUUAGUAGCGCAACUCCGGAGCUCAACUUCGGAACUACUACUAAAACUGUUAGACUAGAGUGCAGGAGGGGUAAGUGGAAUUCCUAGUGUAGCGGUGGAAUGCGUAGAUAUUAGGAGGAACAUCAGGGGCGAAGGCGACUUACUGGACUGUAACUGACACUGAGGCACGAGAGCGUGGGGAGCAAACAGGAUUAGAUACCCUAGUAGUC